Molecule: ribosomal RNA, 750 nt
Filed under: Streptomonospora sp. YIM 90580
Lineage: Bacteria; Bacillati; Actinomycetota; Actinomycetes; Streptosporangiales; Nocardiopsidaceae
Also listed under: 1 other name
Description: bacterial SSU rRNA
Rfam family: Bacterial small subunit ribosomal RNA
Source: RNAcentral
GCUGGCGGCGUGCUUAACACAUGCAAGUCGAGCGGUAAGGCCCUUCGGGGUACACGAGCGGCGAACGGGUGAGUAACACGUGAGCAACCUGCCCCUGACUCCGGGAUAAGCCGGGGAAACCCGGUCUAAUACCGGAUAGGGACGCCUCGUCGCAUGGCGGGGUGUGGAAAGGUUUUUUCCGGUCAGGGAGGGGCUCGCGGCCUAUCAGCUUGUUGGUGGGGUGAAGGCCUACCAAGGCGAUUACGGGUAGCCGGCCUGAGAGGGCGACCGGCCACACUGGGACUGAGACACGGCCCAGACUCCUACGGGAGGCAGCAGUGGGGAAUAUUGCGCAAUGGGCGGAAGCCUGACGCAGCGACGCCGCGUGGGGGAUGACGGCCUUCGGGUUGUAAACCUCUUUUACCACCGACGCAGGCCCGCGCUUCUGUGCGGGUUGACGGUAGGUGGGGAAUAAGGACCGGCCAACUACGUGCCAGCAGCCGCGGUAAUACGUAGGGUCCGAGCGUUGUCCGGAAUUAUUGGGCGUAAAGAGCUCGUAGGUGGUGUGUCGCGUCUGCUGUGUAAGUCCGGGGCUUAACUCCGGUUUUGCAGUGGAUACGGGCAUGCUAGAGGUAGGCAGGGGAGACUGGAAUUCCUGGUGUAGCGGUGAAAUGCGCAGAUAUCAGGAGGAACACCGGUGGCGAAGGCGGGUCUCUGGGCCUUACCUGACGCUGAGGAGCGAAAGCGUGGGGAGCGAACAGGAUUAGAUAC